Pygocentrus nattereri (red-bellied piranha) is the source of this 1026-nucleotide long non-coding RNA. The record is from Ensembl. Lineage: Eukaryota; Metazoa; Chordata; Actinopteri; Characiformes; Serrasalmidae.
CACCUAUGUUGCUUGUGAAGCUGCGUGGCCGUGUUUAAAUUACUGGGCGGCCCCUUUGUACCCUAUAUAUAGGCAGGGGGACGACUACGUUUGGUGCGCUUCCUGUCCCCCUUCCUUUCUGCUGUGACUUCCGUGCCGGCAGCGUUCAGCGUGGAGUUUAGCGUGACUGUUUGGAUUACUUCUCAUGAGUUUAAGUCGCGGGCUCGUAUUCGAUUGCCGGCUCAGCGCUGUGGUAUGCAUCUCUGAUGUUGCCUGGGCACUUUCACUUUAGUAAGUGCUAGUGACUGUGCUGCCUUGCUGCGGGCAUUGUCUGCUGGAGCUGUUUGCUGUAGCCAUUGUCAGCUGGAGCUGCUGUGUGUCAUUACCUGCUGCUGUCUGCUGUGGCCAUUGUUUGCUGUGGCUGCUGGCAGAAAUUGAUGUUGUGCUGGAGCUGGGGGCCAAGCAUCUGACUUGGGGAUGCGGAAUUCUAUUCACCUUUCCUGUAGUGUGGAGCACGUUGGGUGUGAUUGAGAUGUGUGGCACUGACAUGUGUGGUUUGUAGUGUAGAGGAUAUUCCUAUCCCUGUACUUCCUUCUGUCGUGGUAAGCCCUUAACCCAGUUCCUUCCUAAUUUGUUGCUGGUAAUUUAAAUAAAUUAUUGCUAGUUAUUUUUUUAUAUUGAUUCUCCAAGAAGGGAAUUCCUGGUCUGCCUGGUGGAAAAGAUGUUUUAAAAUAAUUGUCAAUAAAUCUCUAUUAAAUGAUUGUACCCCGUCCCUGGCCUUUGAGUGUGUUGAACCUGGGUGUCUCUUUCUUCUCUAGGCCUUAAGUGCCAUUUUUUUUUUUUCUUAGAGGUGAAAUCACCUCUAGGUGGCGUAGUCGUGCAUUAACAAAAUUACGCCGCUACGCCACACCUGUAUGGGCCACUAAUGGCACCCAAGCUAUCGCACAUAGACCCAAUGAUUGUGAAACGAAUGGUCCCAGAUAUUCACCUCAGUUUCAAAACAUAUCUUUUUUCUGUAAUACCCACUUAUAAUGUUACCAUGUGCUU